Long non-coding RNA from Micropterus salmoides (largemouth bass), 106 nucleotides. RefSeq lists it as uncharacterized. The record is from RefSeq and is a predicted model, not a curated record. The transcript is spliced from 3 exons. Lineage: Eukaryota; Metazoa; Chordata; Actinopteri; Centrarchiformes; Centrarchidae.
AUUUUUUUGAGCAGUGUAUUUCCAGCCAACAGCCAAUCCAACAGCAGCUAAACAAACCAGAACAAAAGCUGCUCCCAGUCUGUAGUGUCCUUUAUGGUAACUGAAA